GUGGGGAAUAUUGGACAAUGGGCGCAAGCCUGAUCCAGCCAUGUCGCGUGAAUGAUGAAGGCCUUAGGGUUGUAAAGUUCUUUCGCCAGGGACGAUAAUGACGGUACCUGGAUAAGAAGCCCCGGCUAACUUCGUGCCAGCAGCCGCGGUAAUACGAAGGGGGCUAGCGUUGUUCGGAUUUACUGGGCGUAAAGCGCACGUAGGCGGAUCUUUAAGUCAGGGGUGAAAUCCCGAGGCUCAACCUCGGAACUGCCCUUGAUACUGGAGAUCUUGAGUUCGGGAGAGGUGAGUGGAACUGCGAGUGUAGAGGUGAAAUUCGUAGAUAUUCGCAAGAACACCAGUGGCGAAGGCGGCUCACUGGCCCGAUACUGACGCUGAGGUGCGAAAGCGUGGGGAGCAAACAGGAUUAGAUACCCCGGUAGUCC
Molecule: ribosomal RNA, 425 nt
Filed under: uncultured bacterium
Lineage: Bacteria
Description: partial 16S ribosomal RNA
Rfam family: Bacterial small subunit ribosomal RNA
Source: RNAcentral